Chrysemys picta bellii (western painted turtle) is the source of this 105-nucleotide small nuclear RNA. Lineage: Eukaryota; Metazoa; Chordata; Testudines; Emydidae. The record is from Ensembl.
CUGCUUAGAGCUCACACAUAUACUACAAUUGGAAUGAUACAGAGAAGAUUAGCAUAGCCCCUGUGCAAGAAUGACACACAAACUUAUGAUCUAAAGACAUAGGUC